RNAcentral lists this small nuclear RNA (104 nucleotides) under Monodon monoceros (narwhal). Lineage: Eukaryota; Metazoa; Chordata; Mammalia; Artiodactyla; Monodontidae. The record is from RNAcentral.
ACGCUCAUUUCAGCAGCACAUAUACUAAAAUGGAAUGAUACAGAGGAGGUUAGCAUUCCCUGUGCAAGGAUGACACACAAAUUCGUGAAGCAUUUAUGUGUGUU